RNAcentral lists this ribosomal RNA (464 nucleotides) under Vreelandella stevensii. RNAcentral describes it as "partial 16S ribosomal RNA". It matches the Rfam family "Bacterial small subunit ribosomal RNA", at positions 339 to 795 of the family's 1533-position model. The record is from RNAcentral. Lineage: Bacteria; Pseudomonadati; Pseudomonadota; Gammaproteobacteria; Oceanospirillales; Halomonadaceae.
CCACGGGUGGCAGCAGUGGGGAAUAUUGGACAAUGGGCGAAAGCCUGAUCCAGCCAUGCCGCGUGUGUGAAGAAGGCCUUCGGGUUGUAAAGCACUUUCAGUGGGGAAGAAAGCCUUGGGGCUAAUACCCUCGAGGAAGGACAUCACCCACAGAAGAAGCACCGGCUAACUCCGUGCCAGCAGCCGCGGUAAUACGGAGGGUGCGAGCGUUAAUCGGAAUUACUGGGCGUAAAGCGCGCGUAGGCGGUCUGAUAAGCCGGUUGUGAAAGCCCCGGGCUCAACCUGGGAACGGCAUCCGGAACUGUCAGGCUAGAGUGCAGGAGAGGAAGGUAGAAUUCCCGGUGUAGCGGUGAAAUGCGUAGAGAUCGGGAGGAAUACCAGUGGCGAAGGCGGCCUUCUGGACUGACACUGACGCUGAGGUGCGAAAGCGUGGGUAGCAAACAGGAUUAGAUACCCUGGUAGUC